CGCGCGCGCAUCUCUCUCUCACCCUGUCUCAUCCUGCGCGCCCACACGCGCUCCUCUCUCACUAGCGCCAGGCCGAGCCGCCGCCGCGCCACCGCCGGGAGCCCGCGCCGCCACCGCGCCGUCACCGCGACCUAGACAAAAACAUGUACGCCUCGUCUGAUUUGCGUCAGGGCCCUCGUCUGAUUUGCUCCGCCGAGAAGAGGAGGACAGUGUGCGUGUUGAAGCUGUCGGAGGUAAGGCUCGGCAACGGCGACGGCUACCAGCACGGCCAGUGCUGGCGCGACGUCUACGAUGCCAUAUGCCAGGCCCGGAGGCUCAUCUACAUCAUCGGGUGGUCCAUGUUCCACACCAUCCACCUGGUGCGCGACGGCCACGAUGACAUGGCACUCGGCGACCUGCUCAGGAGGAAGUCGCAGGAGGGCGUGCAGGUGCUGCUGCUCGUGUGGGACGAUCCCACGUCCCGAAGACUCCUUGGCAUCAAGAUGGAAGGUUACAUGGGCACAAGGGAUGAGGAGACCCGGAGAUUUUUCAAGCACUCUUCAGUCCAGAUACUGCUUUGCCCACGAUCUGCAGGGAAGAGGCACAGCUGGGUGAAGCAACAGGAAACAGGCACUAUCCUUACUCAUCACCAGAAGACAGUGAUCUUGGAUGCUGAUGCUGGGAAUCAUAGAAGGAAGAUCGUUGCUUUCAUGGGAGGACUUGAUCUAUGUGGAGGCCGAUAUGAUACACCAAAGCACACUCUAUUUCGAACUCUUCAGACAUUUCACAAGGAAGACUACUACAACCCAAAUUUUGCGGUUGAAGAUGCUCGCGGCCCAAGAGAACCAUGGCAUGACUUGCAUUCCAAGAUCGACGGUCCAGAAGCAUACGAUGUCCUGAAAAACUUUGAGGAGCGCUGGUUAAAGGCAUCAAAGCGCAGUGCCGCUAAGAAACUGUCAAAAUUGUCGAGGUCGCAUAAUGAUUCGCUGCUGUGGAUCAACAAGAUACCUGAUAUUAUUGCUAUUGACGACGAAAUCUAUUCAAAUGACGAUGAUCCAGAGAGAUGGGACGUGCAGGUAAGUCUACCAAAGGGCUCCAUAAAUCAUUGCAAAAUAAAUAAUUCUGACAUUCAUGGUCGAGCCCUGAGCAAAUUUCACCUAGAAAGCAGAUUUUCCGAUCAAUUGAUUCGAAUUCUGUCAAGGGUUUUCCAAAAGAUCCACGGAAGGCCACUAGUAAGAAUCUUGUUUGUGGGAAAAAUGUACUGAUUGAUAUGAGCGUGCAUACAGCAUAUGUGAAUGCCAUCCGAGGUGCUCAACAUUUCAUCUAUAUUGAGAACCAGUACUUCCUUGGCUCUUCAUUUAACUGGGAUUCACAUAGAGAUGUUGAUUUUCGGGUACAGGAUGUCUCUAUGGGUAGAGCAAAUAAGGGGGACGGUGCACUCCCCCCUUCGUGUGUGUUUUAAUCACCAUUUCUAAAAUUUAUUCUAUUGAAGUGAUGAUGACAGUCCAUCGCCGCCAAGAGGUCACAGGAGAAGAACUCGCAGCCCAAGUCCUCGUGGUAGUUAUGGAGGCCAUGGCAAGCGCCCCACAACUAAUCUUAUGGUGACGAAUCUUGGUCCGGAUUGUAGGAUUCCGACUCUCAUCAAGUGACUCCUCCCCUCACGAUGACUUUGCGGACAGAUGUCUCAAUUAUAGUGGUGGAGCUACGAACAACAAUCCGAUGUCCUGAUCGAGAGCGAUGGAGCUAAUGUUUGAACUUGUGUGUUUGACCUUGUGAACUAAAAAUGUGAACUAUGGAUGUGAACUUAUAUGAAUUUGUGAACUUAUGUAUUUGGACUUAUGUGAAUUUGUGAACUUAUGU
Zea mays is the source of this 1839-nucleotide RNA transcript. It is a transcript of the gene named phospholipase D beta pseudogene, with no coding region annotated. The record is from RefSeq and is marked validated. Lineage: Eukaryota; Viridiplantae; Streptophyta; Magnoliopsida; Poales; Poaceae. The transcript has 9 exons.